RNAcentral lists this long non-coding RNA (252 nucleotides) under Salvia miltiorrhiza (redroot sage). Its description in RNAcentral is "long non-coding RNA (SMIL_LNC000163)". The record is from RNAcentral. Lineage: Eukaryota; Viridiplantae; Streptophyta; Magnoliopsida; Lamiales; Lamiaceae.
GUAAAUUAAACCUUUGGCUCCUAUUGUCGAUUAUGCUAUAGAUUGAAACUAGGCAUCAUGGUUUUGCUAUUGUCAUAAGAACUCCCAUCAUUGUCUCAUGUGAGAAAAUAAAUACAUAUGAACUGAUUUCUGUGCUUGUGACUUUGCUAAGUCCAUAACCUAUACUCAUCUAUACAUUAAAUAUUUCUACUUAAUCAUGCUUGUUGGAUGAAAUGCAAAUGGGAUUCGAAUGAAGGGAGCUUAGUAUAUACC